Molecule: ribosomal RNA, 104 nt
Filed under: Eubacterium callanderi
Lineage: Bacteria; Bacillati; Bacillota; Clostridia; Eubacteriales; Eubacteriaceae
Description: 23S rRNA. Bacterial LSU
Rfam family: Bacterial large subunit ribosomal RNA
Source: RNAcentral
GAAAGAAGUAAGGCCUCUGGAAGACGACCAGGUAGAUAGGCUGGAGGUGGAAGUGCAGCAAUGUAUGGAGCUGACCAGUACUAAUCGGCCGAGGUCUUGAUCUA